This is a small nuclear RNA of Protopterus annectens (West African lungfish), 164 nucleotides long. RefSeq annotates it as U1 spliceosomal RNA. The record is from RefSeq and is a predicted model, not a curated record. NCBI's taxonomy places the organism in Eukaryota, Metazoa, Chordata, Ceratodontiformes, Protopteridae. The transcript has a single exon.
AAACUUACUUGGCAGGAGGGAUACAAGGAUCAAGAAGGUGGUUUUCCCAACAUGAGGUUCUGCUAUUUAACUUUGAUUAGGUUGGCCCCUGUGAUUUCCCCAAAUGUAGCAAAUUCAACUGUAUAAUUUAUGGUAGUGGGGGACUGCAUUCACACUGUCCCCUA